Molecule: non-coding RNA, 117 nt
Organism: Kickxella alabastrina
Lineage: Eukaryota; Fungi; Kickxellomycota; Kickxellomycetes; Kickxellales; Kickxellaceae
Source: the annotation of a RefSeq genome assembly
GCCGGACUGGCGCAAUUGGAUAGCGCACCAGACUUCUACGCUUAGUGACGCUUUUAAAAAGCGUAUUCGCUAACGCGGGUCAUCUGGGGGUUGCGGGUUCGAAUCCCGCGUUCGGUU